ACAUAUGAGAGCGUGCUAUUCUUGAGUUUUCAACUUCCCAUUAUCUUGGUCAUGAUUAUUGGUCAUGGAAACUUCUUGCUCAUGAUUUCAUUAUUAUCUUGUAUGAAUUUGUUGGAGCCAAAUAAUCUUGACCUUGAUCUUGGGUCUUGAGUCUUGGCUUCAUCGAUGGUCAUUUUCGUCCUCAUGAACUUCCCAAAGCAUGUGCUUGCUCAAUCGGCGGUCCCUUUAUCUGUAUAACUCAUCCAAUUCAACCUCCUUUUAGUUUUUCAACAAUUUCUUCGCUUCUUGAGUUCUUCCAUGAGUUGUUUAAGCUACUAAGUGCCAGAGAGUACUGAGUGUGCAUCAUUUUCAUGGCUAGCUUCAUAUGAUCAAGGUACUAUCAUCGAAACCCCUCUUAAUAGUACGGUCCAUGAGCUACAAACUAGCAAAACCUACAUUAAAGCACCUAAGCCUAUCUUAAAAGAUGAAUCUAUUGCUUCUUCCAAAAAUAACCAUGCUAGGGUGAAAGAACUUGAAGAAGAAGUGAAAAGCUUAGGCUCUUGUGUCAGAAAAAUGGCUAGAGGUGAGUACUUGCACAAGGAGAUUCUCUUCUACAAUGCAAGAAGGUUUGGCACAAUAGGACUUGGCUCCUUCCCAGAGCCCGUGGAGAACCUUUCCAAGUCACCGGAACUUAAAGGGUGCUUUGUCAAGGAGAUUGGGUCCUAUUGUCAACAUUGCAAGAUCACCGGUCAUCACACAAGAGAGUUCCCCCUUCCUAAUAGUCCCCC
Molecule: long non-coding RNA, 767 nt
Filed under: Setaria viridis
Lineage: Eukaryota; Viridiplantae; Streptophyta; Magnoliopsida; Poales; Poaceae
Description: long non-coding RNA (SVIR_LNC007906)
Source: RNAcentral